UGCAAGUCGAACGGUAACAUAUCUCUGCUUGCAAGAUGAUGACGAGUGGCGAACGGGUGCGUAACGCGUAUGCAACCUACCUUAAACUGGGGGAUAGCCAGAAGAAAUUCCGAUUAAUACCCCAUAUUAUAUAUUCUUCGCAUGUUGAAUAUAUCAAAGCUUUGGCGGUUUAAGAUGGGCAUGCGUGACAUUAGCUAGUUGGUAAGGUAACGGCUUACCAAGGCAACGAUGUCUAGGGGGUCUGAGAGGAUUAUCCCCCACACUGGUACUGAGACACGGACCAGACUCCUACGGGAGGCAGCAGUGAGGAAUAUUGGACAAUGGGCGAAAGCCUGAUCCAGCCACGCCGCGUGCAGGAAGAAUGCCCUACGGGUUGUAAACUGCUUUUAUAUAGGAAUAAACCCCUCUACGUGUAGAGGGCUGGAGGUACUAUACGAAUAAGGAUCGGCUAACUCCGUGCCAGCAGCCGCGGUAAUACGGAGGAUCCAAGCGUUAUCCGGAUUUAUUGGGUUUAAAGGGUGCGUAGGCGGGGCAAUAAGUCAGUGGUGAAAUCUUCCAGCUUAACUGGGAAACUGCCAUUGAUACUGUUGUUCUUGAGUUUGGUUGAAGUAAGCGGAAUGAGGCAUGUAGCGGUGAAAUGCAUAGAUAUGCCUCAGAACACCGAUUGCGAAGGCAGCUUACUAAGCCAAUACUGACGCUGAGGCACGAAAGCGUGGGUAGCGAACAGGAUUAGAUACCCUGGUAGUCCACGCUGUAAACGAUGAUUACUCGCUGUUGGCGAUACAAUGUCAGCGGCUAAGCGAAAGUGAUAAGUAAUCCACCUGGGGAGUACGUUCGCAAGAAUGA
This 846-nucleotide ribosomal RNA is filed under the name uncultured marine bacterium. Its description in RNAcentral is "bacterial SSU rRNA". It matches the Rfam family "Bacterial small subunit ribosomal RNA", at positions 56 to 897 of the family's 1533-position model. The record is from RNAcentral.